UCCACUGGGCGCGUCUGCGCUGCGUUCUGGAGGAGGAAUUACGUCACGUACUUUGUCACGUAUGUAACCAGUGAAGUAACGUAACAAAUGUCCAUGAUUUUAACCCUAACCACGAGGUUUUUCUUUUUUUUCCUCCAUGGUUUAUUUAUUAGUAUCAAUGUAGAACAGUCCAGAAUAACAACAAAAGUACAUACAUAAAUGAAUACUUAAAUGAGAUAAGCAACUAAAUAAAGUAUCAGAGGGAUGAUAAAGGUCAGGAGCAAUUACAUCGAGAUGGCGGUCUCAGGUUUCUCAAACUAACCACGAUGUUUUUCUAAACUUAACCAAGUACUUUAGAUGCCAAAAACCUAACUAAACAGCGAGCAUUUCACACGUUUUUACGUAGGGUAUUUCUGGGGAGUUUUCUGUGUGUGUGUGCGUGUGUGUUCCUUGAGGAUGUUUACAUUCCUCGACCCCUGAUCCUAAACUUGGGUUCAAUCCCCUCAGUUUGCAAAAAGGACUAUAGCUCUCAUCUGGAAGAAAAUGGAGGCACCUACAAUUGGUGCUUAGAUCAAAAAUAUGGCGCAAUGUAUGUCCACAGAGAGACUGACAUAUUUAGAGGCAAAUUGGGGGUGUAUGAGAAAAUCUGGAGAACAUUUGACCGGUUUGUAAAAGGAGAAGACAUAGGGGAGCUGCUACUGUGAUACGGUCAUAUCAUUUGCUUUUUGAUUGCUGU
Molecule: long non-coding RNA, 715 nt
Organism: Sander lucioperca (pikeperch)
Lineage: Eukaryota; Metazoa; Chordata; Actinopteri; Perciformes; Percidae
Exons: 3
Source: RefSeq, a predicted model, not a curated record